AGUGCCUGAUCCACCGAAACCCGCUCCCAAGAAGGGCGCCAAGAAAGCUCCGUCCAAACCGGCGAGCAAGUCUGGCAAGAAGCGCAAGAGGUCGAGGAAGGACAGUUACAAAGUGCUGAAGCAGGUUCACCCCGACACCGGCAUCUCCUCCAAGGCCAUGAGCAUCAUGAAUUCAUUCGUGAACGAUAUCUUCGAGCGCAUCGCGGGUGAGGCUUACCGCCUGGCCGACUACAACAAGCGGUCCACCAUCAGCUCCCGGGAGAUCCAGACCGCCGUGCGCCUGCUGCUGCCCGGGGAGCUGGCCAAGCACGCCGUGUCCGAAGGAACAAUGGCGGUGACCAAGUACACCAGCUCCAAGUAAAGACAACUUUACUGACAAAACAAACGGGAAAUUCAAAGGAUCAUUUAAGAGCCACUCACGCUUUCAUUAAAAGAGUUACAAAAUAUUGAGCCAUGGACUUGAGACAGCUGCACCAUAGACCCUGAAAGUGACAUCAGGAAUAUCUUCUCCGCAAGUUACAGUGAGCAUCUGGGUUAAAACUGAUCAACAGCACAAGGAAAAUAUGUGCGAAAGUCUGAGAUGCAUAUUCCCACAUAGCUGUCCAGAACACAGCAGGUAACCGUUUGAAUGAAGGUUCCCAGCCCGAGCUGUCGACUGGUUGCUGAGUUCCUCCAACAUUCUCUGUGUGUUUGCUUCUGUUUGUUUAUUGAUUAAAAUAAUCAGACUGGUUCAGUGGAAGAGGAAUUUGUGGAAUGGUCAGAGACAGUUUCAUACAGUAGUUUAUUUACCCAGGAACAUGCCAUUUCAGUUGUAAUCUGUGUAAAGAGGUGGUAUUACAGAGAGUUCUUGCGGUGAAGGAUCCUGAAUAUGAGCAGUGGCAGAUGUUUAAGGAGAAGGUUCGUUAGAGCCGACAUUUAUCCCGAUCAGACAGAGGAAUCACAGGGAGCAAACAACAGUCUGUGGUUAAAAGAGUUCAAGAAUUUUGUUGAGAAAUCUGUCCGCGACCAAGGCAGUUCAUACUGGAUUGGAAAAUGCAACUAUGGGAGAGUGGCCUCGAAUAUCGUGUUCCAAAUGAAGGCUGGAGUCUUCGAAUGCAUUGAAUGUGGAUGGUACCCUCACUUUGAACAUUGCAGUGAGGAUAAGCGUUGCUUCAUCUGCGAGAAGUCGGCGCUUCUGUGCUC
Hypanus sabinus (Atlantic stingray) is the source of this 1182-nucleotide long non-coding RNA. RefSeq lists it as uncharacterized. NCBI's taxonomy places the organism in Eukaryota, Metazoa, Chordata, Chondrichthyes, Myliobatiformes, Dasyatidae. The transcript is spliced from 6 exons. The record is from RefSeq and is a predicted model, not a curated record.